RNAcentral lists this ribosomal RNA (433 nucleotides) under uncultured bacterium. RNAcentral describes it as "partial 16S ribosomal RNA". It matches the Rfam family "Bacterial small subunit ribosomal RNA", at positions 29 to 507 of the family's 1533-position model. The record is from RNAcentral.
AACGAACGCUGGCGGCAUGCCUAACACAUGCAAGUCGAACGAGACCUUCGGGUCUAGUUGCGCACGGGUGCGUAACGCGUGGGAACCUGCCCUUAGGUUCGGAAUAACUCCCCGAAAGGGGUGCUAAUACCGGAUAAUGUCUUCGGACCAAAGAUUUAUCGCCUUUGGAUGGGCCCGCGUUGGAUUAGCUAGUUGGUAGGGUAAAAGCCUACCAAGGCGACGAUCCAUAGCUGGUCUGAGAGGAUGAUAAGCCAGACUGGGACUGAGACACGGCCCAGACUCCUACGGGAGGCAGCAGUGGGGAAUAUUGUGCAAUGGGCGAAAGCCUGAUCCAGCAAUGCGGCGUGAGUGAUGAAGGCCUUAGGGUAGUAAAGCUCUUUUACCCGGGAUGAUAAUGACAGUACCGGGUGAAUAAGCACCGGCUAACUACGUG